This 433-nucleotide ribosomal RNA is filed under the name uncultured bacterium. Its description in RNAcentral is "partial 16S ribosomal RNA". It matches the Rfam family "Bacterial small subunit ribosomal RNA", at positions 29 to 507 of the family's 1533-position model. The record is from RNAcentral.
AACGAACGCUGGCGGCAUGCCUAACACAUGCAAGUCGAACGAGACCUUCGGGUCUAGUGGCGCACGGGUGCGUAACGCGUGGGAACCUGCCCUUAGGUUCGGAAUAACUUCCCGAAAGGGGUGCUAAUACCGGAUAAUGUCUUCGGACCAAGGAUUUAUCGCCUUUGGAUGGGCCCGCGUUGGAUUAGCUAGUUGGUAGGGUAAAAGCCUACCAAGGCGACGAUCCAUAGCUGGUCUGAGAGGAUGAUCAGCCACACUGGGACUGAGACACGGCCCAGACUCCUACGGGAGGCAGCAGUGGGGAAUAUUGGACAGUGGGCGAAAGCCUGAUCCAGCAAUGCCGCGUGAGUGAUGAAGGCCUUAGGGUUGUAAAGCUCUUUUACCCGGGAUGAUAAUGACAGUACCGGGAGAAUAAGCUCCGGCUAACUCCGUG